Molecule: ribosomal RNA, 2109 nt
Filed under: Actinocrispum wychmicini
Lineage: Bacteria; Bacillati; Actinomycetota; Actinomycetes; Pseudonocardiales; Pseudonocardiaceae
Description: partial 23S ribosomal RNA
Rfam family: Bacterial large subunit ribosomal RNA
Source: RNAcentral
GUGAGAGUGCGGCAGUGAGACUGCGGGGGAUAAGCUUCGUAGUCGAGAGGGAAACAGCCCAGAACACCAGCUAAGGCCCCUAAGUGUGCGCUAAGUGGGAAAGGAUGUGGGGUCGCCCAGACAACCAGGAGGUUGGCUUAGAAGCAGCCAUCCUUGAAAGAGUGCGUAAUAGCUCACUGGUCAAGUGGUCCUGCGCCGACAAUGUAGCGGGGCUUAAGCGUACCGCCGAAGCUGUGUCAUUCACACAUAUACAUCCACUUCAACUUUCGGGUUGUUGUGUAGUGGUGUGGAUGGGUAGGGGAGCGUCCUGCACCCCUGGAAGCUGCGACGUAAGUCAGCAGUGGAGGGUGUGGGAGUGAGAAUGCAGGCAUGAGUAGCGAUAGCAGAGUGAGAACCUCUGCCGCCGGAUGACCAAGGGUUCCUGGGCCAGGCUAAUCCGCCCAGGGUAAGUCGGGACCUAAGGCGAGGCCGACAGGCGUAGUCGAUGGACAACGGGUUGAUAUUCCCGUACCCGCGUGAAUGCGACCAUGAUGAGGCAGUUGAUGCUAACCACCCAAAGCUGUGGGAGUAAGCCUUCGGGUGAAUCUUACGGUGGAGCGUGGGAUCCGAUUCUGUAUUAGUCAAGCGAUGGGGUGACGCAGGAAGGUAGUCCCGCCAGUGAGUGGAUUAACUGGUGUAAGCGUGUAGGGAGUGGUGUAGGCAAAUCCGCACCAUAUAUAUCCUGAGACGUGAUGCGUAGCCGAUUGAGGCGAAGUGGAUGAUCCUAUGCUGUCGAGAAAAGCCUCUAGUGAGUGUUCAAGCGGCCCGUACCCUAAACCGACACAGGUGGUCAGGUAGAGAAUACUGAGGCGUUCGGGUGAACUGUGGUUAAGGAACUCGGCAAAAUGCCCCCGUAACUUCGGGAGAAGGGGGGCCGUGUGGCGUGAAGGACCGUGCGUCUGGAGCGUUGUGUGGCCGCAGAGACCAGCGAGAAGCGACUGUUUACUAAAAACACAGGUCCAUGCGAAGUCGUAAGACGAUGUAUAUGGACUGACGCCUGCCCGGUGCUGGAACGUUAAGAGGACGGGUUAGUGCCUUUUGGGGUGCGAAGCUCAGAAUUUAAGCGCCAGUAAACGGCGGUGGUAACUAUAACCAUCCUAAGGUAGCGAAAUUCCUUGUCGGGUAAGUUCCGACCUGCACGAAUGGCGUAACGACUUCUCGGCUGUCUCAACCGCAGGCCCGGUGAAAUUGCAUUACGAGUAAAGAUGCUCGUUACGCGCGGCAGGACGGAAAGACCCCGGGACCUUUACUAUAGCUUGGUAUUGGUGCUCGGUUCGGCUUGUGUAGGAUAGGUGGGAGACUGUGAAGCGCCAUCGCUAGUUGGUGUGGAGUCGUUGUUGAAAUACCACUCUGGUCGGAUUGGGUGUCUAACCUCGGACCAUGAUCUGGUUCAGGGACAGUGCCUGGUGGGUAGUUUAACUGGGGCGGUUGCCUCCUAAAGGGUAACGGAGGCGCUCAAAGGUUCCCUCAGCCUGGUUGGCAAUCAGGUGUUGAGUGCAAGUGCACAAGGGGGCUUGACUGUGAGACUGACGGGUCGAGCAGGGACGAAAGUCGGAACUAGUGAUCCGGCCAUGGCUUGUGGAAGCGUGGUCGCUCAACGGAUAAAAGGUACCCCGGGGAUAACAGGCUGAUCUUGCCCAAGAGUCCAUAUCGACGGCAUGGUUUGGCACCUCGAUGUCGGCUCGUCGCAUCCUGGGGCUGGAGUAGGUCCCAAGGGUUGGGCUGUUCGCCCAUUAAAGCGGUACGCGAGCUGGGUUUAGAACGUCGUGAGACAGUUCGGUCCCUAUCCGCCGCGCGCGUAGGAGAUUUGAGGAAGGCUGUCCCUAGUACGAGAGGACCGGGACGGACGGACCUCUGGUGUGCCAGUUGUUCUGCCAAGGGCAUGGCUGGUUGGCUACGUUCGGAAGGGAUAACCGCUGAAGGCAUCUAAGCGGGAAGCCUGUUCCAAGAUGAGAUCUCCCACCUCUUUGAGGUUAAGGCUCCCAGCUAGACGACUGGGUUGAUAGGCCGGAGAUGGAAGCACGGUAACGUGUGGAGUUGACUGGUACUAAUAGGCCGAGGACUUGUUCA